RNAcentral lists this small nucleolar RNA (106 nucleotides) under Beta vulgaris subsp. vulgaris (sugar beet). Its description in RNAcentral is "Plant small nucleolar RNA R71". It matches the Rfam family "Plant small nucleolar RNA R71". From Rfam's summary of the family: R71 is a member of the C/D box family of snoRNAs containing the C (UGAUGA) and D (CUGA) box motifs. Multiple nearly identical copies of this snoRNA have been identified in Arabidopsis, and it is thought to function as a 2'-O-ribose methylation guide for 18S ribosomal RNA. The record is from Rfam by way of RNAcentral. Lineage: Eukaryota; Viridiplantae; Streptophyta; Magnoliopsida; Caryophyllales; Amaranthaceae.
AAAUCAUGAUGAGGACAAAGACGUUGCAAACCCUUAAACCUCUCCCAAGCUUCAUACAAGGACUCACUAGGAUCUUGGGUGAAACUUACAAUAGCGUGAUGCACAU